AAUUCACUUCCGGUUCGAUGCCUUUAAAACGGAGGGGGAGCGGCACAGCGCUUAGAUGCUGCGCCACGGAUUUGCCAGCUGGAUAGAUGAGGAUGCUGUUGGUGGUGGAUGGAUUUUCACGUGGCAUAGCAAGGAGUAUUUGUGAUGCACACCACACUACUCUGUGAAGUGUUCCUGACCUUCAGAAGGAACAAGGAUCAACUGGAGGUCAACCUGGGAAGAGGAUACUUGAAGCUGUUGCUGCCACUGAAUGGCGCAACCCUGUUAAAGGACUCGAGCUGGAAGUCAAGUGUGCUGAUCUUGGCAGACCUGUGCCAUUGUGAGGUGUUGAGUGCGUCUUGGGAGAGCUGACAUCUCUUCACAGCAAGAACCUUGAUUGGUGCAGAGCUGAAGCAUCACACAUAAAGGAGUGCACAAUCACCUUUAGAGGUUUACCUCUGGUCACUCCAUAGACUCCUGAAAUUAACGUGUUAAACCCUCGCAGGGAUGACAAAAUCAGACAUUCAAAUGUUUGUUCUACACACUUUUGUCCUCUGUCUUUGAGUGGAUACUGUGAUCUCCGGUAUGUGAA
Long non-coding RNA from Alosa sapidissima (American shad), 571 nucleotides. RefSeq lists it as uncharacterized. The transcript is spliced from 3 exons. Lineage: Eukaryota; Metazoa; Chordata; Actinopteri; Clupeiformes; Clupeidae. The record is from RefSeq and is a predicted model, not a curated record.